AUCACCAUCUAUUUUGGGUGGUUAAUUCCUCUUACGUCAAGCUAGAUGAGGUGUCCAUGCCUGUGGCCUCGCCUUCUCCAACUUAGCUGCAGAUUUGGGGAGGCGCCGGGCGCGGCCGAAGAUGGGCCGGCGCGGGGCGGAUCCGCUCCGGCGACGACCAGAGGCGAAGGGGCGCAGCCGGAGACGGGCCAGCCGGAGGUGAAGGGGCAGCGAGGGGCAGCGCUGGGACGGUGGUGGAGGAACAGUGACGAGCGCGCCGGCCAUGGCGCCGCUCGCCGGAGCAUAUCAGCGUCUCGUCACUCGUCAAUAUUACUUCCCCAUAUAGAAGAGAUCCAUUUGCAUUAGGAUCUUUUUGUGAGAAUCAACUUGGUGAAAAAAGGCGUAUGAUUUGUUUGUUCACUCAAUGGAUCAGGUGAUGACAUGCCCUCGCUCGCUGAUCUUGUGCUUGAUCUAUAUAUGUGUACUAUAUAGUAUUUAAUGGUUAAAGUUUCAAAAGGGUUGAACACCAACCAGAAGUUUUCCUCUGGUUAGAGAAGCGGGGAUUAUAUACCUUUGAAUUGACUCUUUUUCCUGCACCAAUAGUUGAUAAUUUAAUUACAAAGUUUAGCCAGCUUGUUGAAAAAUAAUUCUAGCAGCACCCUGUUCCUGACUUAGAUUUUCUAUAGAUGUUUAAUUGCUGGAAUUGUAAUUGCGCCGACAUUGAUAUAUAAUAUGAAUGCUUGAUAGUUUUCGUUGUGGAGAUCUCCAUGAGCCCAAUGGCAUAGUAUGCUAUCCAAUGAAGCUGAUUCAGCCCGAACUACUCAUGCUUAUUCUCUUCACUUUAUCAGGUUGUUUUCAAAGGUUGCAGCCAAGCACAUUAUCACCAUAUGUUCUAGAGCCUUUUUGGGAGGUGACGGAGUAGAAUGUUCUUGCUAAUCAGCUUCUUGGGAAGGUUUGGUUUUGUGCUCAUUUAUCAUUAGAUGAUGUCCUGAACAUCUGUUGUAAAGUAGUUCCAGUAACCUGAUGCUGAGUAGUACCAACAGGUAUUCCAGGUACUCGUGCUCUUAUACCCAUCCUAACACAACAACACUAAAUUAGUUUUAGUUCUUUGUGUAAGCCUGUGUCAUAAAAUAGAUUAUAUACUUCAGCUUUGCAUGCGGUAUUGUCCUUAUGGUGUUACUGUGCAGAUGCUUCUUGGGCAGCCAUAUUUCAUAAGCUUAGCGUCAUAUGACUUCCGAAAUACUGGCUCCUGGCACAAGGGCACCACCCCAUUGUAUAUGCAUUAAGAUCUCUGGUGAAGUUUGUCACGCCUUGUUAAUUAUAUGAGCUUAGCAGAGCUUCGUUCCUGGUAUAUAUGUUAUUGGUUAUGAUCCAUGUAUAGUGAGUUUUAGUAUAUCAAUGUUGUAUAAACUAUUCCUUGUGAAAUGUUGCAUAUUCGCACAUCGUGCAAUUCAGUAAAUAAUAUUAAGGCGACUCCGUCCCAAAUAUACAA
Long non-coding RNA from Lolium perenne, 1471 nucleotides. RefSeq lists it as uncharacterized. Lineage: Eukaryota; Viridiplantae; Streptophyta; Magnoliopsida; Poales; Poaceae. The record is from RefSeq and is a predicted model, not a curated record.